GUAAACUCGACCAGAGAUGUCCGGAAGUUCAGAACUGGAGUGUUUGCCCCCUAUCCUGCCCUUGGCUUGAUCCAGAGAAAGCGGAGAGAGCUACAACUGGUUCUAGGCAAACCAACGUUCCUAGCCCCAAAAGGGCUGUGGGUUGUUAAGAGAGCCCUUUGCCAGAAAGCCCAACACCUGUGUCUUUAGUCCCGCGGCUCACAGGUGCCCGGUGUUUUGUCUCCAAGUUGAUUAUGAUGGAAAAACAGGAUGGAGUUAGCAAGCGAAAGCGGCAGGACUUUACUCACCGCGUUGGAGUCUUUGGCAAUAAUGAGGGGCUCGGCUGGCUUGCCCAAGAAGGUGGGCGGAUGUUGAGUCCGAGGUUCUUGGACUCGCGGGCUUCAGAGAAUGAAGGAGCUGGCCCUGAUGCCCUGGUAAGCGUAACAGGGCGGACAGAAUUCAUGGACAAAGAGUGAGCAACGACGCAGUUUAGUAGGCAGAGCAGAGUCCAGCUUCCGCAUAAGGGAAGGGGACCCGGAAGGGCUACUGCUGCUGCUGACCUCUGUUGUCCACAUAAGAUGUGACUUGCUCCUCCUUGCCUUCCACCUUGAUUGUGAGGCCUCCCCAGCCAUGUAGAACUGAGCCUCAACCAUGAACAUUGCAAUGGGUAAGGAAAAACACCUUUCCUCUUCUACAAUCAAUAUAUCCUGUUUCAACUAGCAACACAGACACAUACGCAUACAAAUAUUUUCAUUAAUAAUAAUUACUCCCAAAACAUUAUUGGCAAGGUCUAUCCUAGUUAUAAGCAUCAAACAGAGAAAUAAAUUGGUAUUUGCUGCCAAAAAGUUUCCCCUUGAAAGUGGCAGUGGCUCUUUUUCUCUCAUGAUGAAGGUCCUCUGAUUUCUGUGUCUGUAAGUUGGAAUGAGGUCCAGGUAGAGCAAGGGAACACUCUCUUAUGUAUAGACUUGUUUAACCCACACCAUUUUAUCUUUCUGUCCAAAUCUUUUUCUUAUGUAUUUGUUUUUUUCACUCACACCCAGUCUUUAAUUUCAGUGCAUGCUUCUGGUUCUAAAGUUGUUGAUUGCAGAGAGAUUUCCCACUGCAUCCACAUGACAUGAACACAACCCUGACGCUGCAGUGGAUUCAGUUCUGGCAUUGAACCUGGUCAUCUAUGUGAAUUAAUCACUCCUAGGAAUGUACUGAUAUUUUCCUGUAUUCAUAUCCAUACUAAGGUCAUCUCAAAUACCAGAAAUAUUUUUUUUAUAAUUUUAAACUUAAGGAGAGAAAUUAAAAUGAUUUUUUAUAGAAAUUUUAUUUUAUAAGAUAAACUUUCAUCAGCCCCUUUUGAGAAAAUUAGAAAUCUACCUCCUAAAGGGUGAAGGGGUGAGGUGAAAUUUUACGGCCACAACACAUCCCUGUAAUAUGCAUUUUGUAAGAGAACGUAAAUACAUUUUCAGCCACAUAUGUUUUUCUCUUUGAAUUUACUAAGAAUUUUUAAAUAACAGAAUUACAGAAUUAUGGACUUAGUUUAUAUCCUGCCUUUCCCCAAGAGGCAUAUAAAUACAUCAGAAAAUAACUAAUAAGAUUUAAAGAUAGAUUAGAUAUUCGAUGCACAUAAAAUAAUAAGAUAAAGCCAGAGGUAGUGUUAUUAUGUAAAUCCUACAGUUAUAAAACAUUCUACACAUUUGCUAAAAUGGACAACAAAUUUGAGUCUAAAAUGUCUAACUGUCAAAGCAAAGAUUCUUGAAGAGAUUUAGAAUAUCCUUAGGGGCUAACAACAAACAGUUCCUCAAGAAAAAGCACAGCUCUCCUGAUACUAUGACUGAAAUAAAUUUCUCCUGUGAGUGCCAUAAUUGAAGGAUCUUAGAAGUGGUAGAGAUAUUAGUGUUCAGCCAUUCCAAGCACCUAUUCAGUGCCUGUAUUCAUUCUACUCAGUCCUUUCUAGAAAACCGUAUCUCUACUUGAAUGAGUCCAUUGGCACAAAGCUCAGCAAUAAUAUGGCAUUUUAUUAUUUAGGAGACAAUUUCUAGUUUUUUUAAAACAAUGUAUUCCAUUGGUUUAGCCUCCUUUUAUGUGUAAUCCUCUGGUCAUAAUUCUAGUUCUCUGGAGCAAGGCAAAACAAGACUACUCUUUAUUCCACUUUUAAAUAAUUUAACAAUUGCUGUCAAUGCUUCCUUAUUCAUACAUACAUUUAUAUUAAAAUAUGCAUUGUAUUGCUACAAUUUACUAGGCACUAUGCUAUAAGUUCAGUGGAUGUAACUGUGAAUAAUUAAAAACAUAGCUCUCGAUUUUCCGGAGAGAUCCAAGAUGGCUGAUUAGCAGCAGCUCAGGAUUGCAGCUCCCAGUGAAAGCACAGAGAGUGAGUGGAUGCCACACUCCCAGAUGAAUUUUUGUUGCCCAUAGACCAGGAGAUUCCCAGCGGAGGAGCCCCACGGGUCACCAGCGUGACUCUUUUGGCCAGUGCAGCUGUUUUGCCAGCGCUCCAGUGUGGUGGUUCUCAGUGUGGAGUAUAUGGGACUGGGUGCCCUUUUAGUUGGUCUUUGGAGCUCCAGGAAGGCAGAGUUACCCAUUCAGCUGAUUGAAAAGGGGACUGAAACAGGGAGCCAGACCAGGAGAUUCCCAGGCAAAAAAGUGCCACAAAUCUCAACAUCGCUGUUUCAGCUGGCGCAGUGGGUUGCAGCAAGGGAAGUUACACAGAUUCCAGAACACUUUCAACAGGUGACUGGAACAACUGGGAGAGAAUCGGCCAUUCAAUUAAAGAAAAAAAAGGCUCUGAGACAGGGAGCCAGGUGAUCAGGCUCAGCUGGUCCCACCACCACUAAAAAACAGCAAUUGGAAAUGCUGAGGAUUGAGAGUCUUAAAGCAAGCACAGCUGAACCUGGGAAGGUCCAGCUUUGUGGGGGAGUGGCAUCCACAUAAGGAAAACUAAGAAACAGAAAAAACUUCAUCACCAACAAACUGGACAUCCACUCAGAAACCCAAUCUGAAAGUCAGCAAUUACAAAGACAACAGGUGGAUAAAUCCACAAAGAUGGGAAGAAACCAGUGCAAAAAGGCUGAAAAACACCCAAAAUCAGAAUGCCUCUCCUCCUACAGGGAAUUGUAGCUCCUCAUCAGCAAGAAACAAGGCCUGAUGGAGAAUGAGUGUGACAAAUUGAUAGAAUCUGGCUUCAGAAGGUGGAUAAGAAACUUCUGUGAGCUAAAAGAACAUGUUCUAACCCAAUGCAAAGAAACUAAGAACCUUGAAAAAAGGUUUGACAAAAUGCUACUGAGAGUAGGAAUAUGAGUGAAUUAAUGGACCUGAAAAACACAAUACGAGAACUCUGCAAAGUAUACACAAGUUUUAACAGUCGAAUUGAUCAAGCAGAAGAAAGGAUAUAUCAGAGGUUGAAUACCAACUCAAUGAAAUAAAAUGAGAAGACAAUAUUAGAGAAAAAAGGGUAAAAAGGAAUGAGGAAAAUCUCCAAGAAAUAUGGGACUAUGUGAAAAGACCUAAUCUACGUUUGAUAGGUGUACCUGAAUGUCAUGAAGAGAAUGAAUCCAAGCUGGAAAAUGUUGUUUAGGAUAUUAUCCAAGAAAACUUUCCCAACCUAGCAAGACAGGACAAUUCUCAACUCUAGGUAAUACAGAGAACACCACAAAGAUAUUUCUCAAGAAGAGCAACCCCAAGGCACAUAAUCGUUAGAUUUACCAGGGUUGAAAUGAAGGAGAAAAUACUAAGGGCAGCCAGAGAGAAAGGUCAGGUUACCUACAAAGGGAAGCCUAUCAGACUCACAGCAGAUCUCUCAGCAGAAACCCUACAAGCCAGAAGAGAAUGGGGGCCAAUAUUCAACAUCCUUAAAGAAAAGAAUUCUCAACCCAGAAUUUCAUAACCAGCCAAACUAAGCUUCAUAAGUGAAGGAAAAAUAAAAUCUUUUGUGAACAGGCAAAUACUCAGAGACUUCAUCACCACCAGGCCUGCUUUACAAGAGCUUUUGAAAGAAGCAUUACACAUAGAAAGGAACAACCAGUAUCAGCCAUUCCAAAAGCAUACCAAAAGAUCAAGAGCAUCAUCGUAAUAAAGAAUCUACAUCAAUUAAUGGGCAAAACAGCCAGCUAGCAUUAAAUGCCAGUAUUAAACUCACAUAUAUCAAUAUUAAUCCUAAAUUUAAAUGGACUAAAUGCCCCAAUCAAAAGACGCAGACAGGCAAAUUGGAUAAAAAGCCAAAACCUAUUGGUAUGCUGCAUCCAGGCCCAUCUCACAUGUAAGGAUACAAAAAGACUCAAAACAAAGGGAAAGAGGAAGAUUUACCAACCAAAUGGAGAGAGAGAAAAAAAAAGCAGAAGUUGCAAUUCUUAUCUCUGACAAAAUAGACUUUAAAGCAACAAAGACCAAAAGAGACAAAGAAGGACAUUACAUAAUGGUAAAAGGAUCAAUGCAACAGGAAGAGCUAAUGAUCCUAAAUAUAUAUGCACCCAAUACAGGAGCAGCCAGAUACAUAAGGCAAGUUUUUAAUGACUUAAUAAGAGACUUACAAGGAUAUCCAGGACUUGAACUCAGACCUGGAACAAGUAAACUUAAUAAACAUUUACAGGACUCUCCACCCCAAAUCCACAAAACAUACAUUCUUCUCAGAAUCACAUCACACCUAUUCUAAAAGUGACCACAUAAUUGGAAGUAAAUCACUCAUCAGCAAUUGCAUAGCAUUUCACAGGUUUAAAUGAAAUAUUGGUUGACUGCUUGUUUUUUGUUUUCCUCCCUUAUUCCUAUCUGUCUCCAUUGUUAAGCACAAUUAUUGGCAUAAAAGAGGUUUUUAAUACCUAUUUUUAGACUGCAUUCUAGCCUGGGCAAUAGAGCAAGAUUCCAGUUCUCUCUCCCUCUUUCUCUUCCUCUUUCUUUCUCCCUUUCAUUCUUUUUUCUUUUCUACUCUCUUUCUCUCUUCUUUUAUUUUCUUUCUUUCUUUCUUUUUCUUUUAAAAAAAAACAUAGCUCUCUAAGUUCCACAGGUUAACAAAAGAAAACCUUUUUUAACAUAUAGGAGUAUUCUUUAGUUUCUCCUAUGGGUAAAUAUCAAGUGUUUCCCUCUUCAGAGGUACUCUUUAUCCUCCACUGCCCUGCUCUAUGCCCUGGUAGCCUGACUCUAAUGGACUAUAUUAAUGGGUCCUUUGCCUUUGGGAUUCUAAAUAGUUGGGGUUCAGCCAGAGGUAAACAAUAGAAAGGGGAAAGACAGGUAAGUGAUGUCAUUUAUUCCUUCAGUUAACUCCCUGUGAGGACACCAUCAAUUUCACACAUCAGCCAAAUGUCACAGUUUCUUUAAGGUACUUUUGUUCCAGUGUCUUUUUAUUAUUAUUUUAUUUUUUCAUAAGUUAUUGGUGAUUGGGGUACAGGUGGUAUUUGGUUACAUGAGUAAUUUCUUUAGUGGUGAUUUGUAAGAACUUGGUGCACCCGUCAUUGAGCAAUAUACACACUGCACCAUAUUUGUAGUCUUUUAUCCCUGCCACCCCUCAUUCUUCCCCCCCUAAGUACCCAAAGUCCCUUGUGUCAUUCUUAUGCCUUUGCUUAGCUCUCACAUAUCAGUGAGAACAUACAAUGUUUGGCUUUCCAUUCCUGAGUUACUUCACUUAGAAUAAUAGUCUUUAAUCUCAUCCAGGUUAUUGCAAAUGCUGUUAAUUAAUUCCUUUUUAUGGCUGAGUAGUAUUCCCUCAUAUACGUAUACCACAGUUUAUCCACUCAUUGAUUGAUGGACAUUUGAGUUGGUUCCACAAUUUUGCUAUUGUGAAUUGUGCUGCUAUAAACAUGUAUGUGCAAAUAUCUUUUUUGAAUAAUGGCUUCUUUUCCUCUGGGUAGAUACCCAGUUGUGGGAUGAUCUCUGACAAAGCAAAAAAAAGGAAGUGCGGAAAGGACACCCUUUUCAACAAAUGGUACUGGGAUAAUUGGCUAGCCACAUGUAGGAUAAUUAUCUCUCAACUUAUACAAAAAUCAAUUCAAGAUGGAUUAAGGAAAUAAACCUAAGAUCUGAAAUUAUAAAAAUUCUAGAAGAUAACAUCAGGAAAACCCUUCUAGACAUUGGCUUAUGCAAGGAUUUUAUGACCCAAAACCCAAAAGCAAUUCCAAUAAAAACAAAUAAAUAGCUGGGACCUAAUUAAACCACAGAGCUUUUGCACAGCAAAAGGAACAGUCAGGAGGGUAAAUAGACAACAUAUCAGGUGGGAGAAAAUCUUUAUUAUCUAUAUAUCUGACAAAGGACUAAUAUCCAGAAUCUAUAAGGAACUCGAACAAAUCAGUAAGAAAAAAGCAAUCAGUCCUAUCAAAAAUAGGCUAAGGACACUAAUUGACAAUUCUCAAAAGAAGAUAUUCAAAGGGCCAACACACGUAUGAAAAAAAUACUCAACAUCACUAAUGGUGAGGGAAAUGCAAAUCAAAACCACAAUAUGAUACCACCUUCUAAAAAAUGGCCAUAAUUAAAGAAUCAAAAGAAAGUAGAUGUUGGAUGCAACGAUUGGGGAACACUUCUACACUAGUGGUGGGAAUGUAAACUUAUAGGGCUGCUAUAGAAAACAGUGUAGAGAUUCCUUAAAGAACUAAAAGUAGAACUACCAUUUAUUUCCCAUGUCUUAUAAUCAGUUUCUCUCUCAGUUUGCUUAGGUUCUCCAAUUCUUUCCAGUUCAAUGGUACUGAACAUUCCCAGUGGUUUUCCUAUACCAUGAGAAUUAUAUGUAUGUAUGUAUGUGUAUAUAUAUAUAUUUUUUUUUUAAUUGCAUUUUAGGUUUUGGGGUAUAUGUGAAGAAUAUGCAAGAUUGUUGCAUAGGUACAUACAUGGCAAUGUGGUUUGCUGCCUUCUUCCCCAUCACCUAUAUCUGGCAUUUUCCCCAUGUAAUCCCUCCCCAACUCCCCACCUCUGGCUGUCCCUCCCCUACUUCCCCCUGACAGACCCCAGUGUGUGAUGCUCCCCUCCCUGUGUCCAUGUGUUCUCAUUGUUCAACACCCACCUAUGAGUGAGAACAUGCAGUAUUUCAUUUUCUAUUCUUGUGUCAGUUUGCUGAGGAUGAUGUUCUCCAGGUUCAUCCAUGUCCCUACAAAGAACACAAACUCAUCGUUUUUGAUUGCUGCAAAAUAUUCCAUGGUGUAUAUGUGCCACAUUUUUUCUGUCCAGUCUAUCAUCGAUGGGCAUUUGGGUUGAUUCCAGGUCUUUGCUAUUGUAAACAGUGCUGCAAUGAAUGUGUCCUUAUAGUAGAAUAAUUUAUAGUACUUUGGAUAUAUACCCAGUAAUGGGAUUGCUGGGUCAAAUGGAAUUUCUAUUUCUAGGUCCUUGAGGAAUCGCCACACUGUCUUCCACAAUGGUUGAACUAAUGUACACUCCCACUAGCAGUGGGAAAAAAGUGUUCCUAUUUUUCCACAUCUUCUCCAGCAUCUGUUGUCUCCAGAUUUUUUAAUGAUCGCCAUUCUAACUGGGGUGAGAUGGUAUCUCAAUGUAGUUUUGAUUUGCAUUUCUCUAAUGCUCUAAUGAUGAGCGUUUUUUCAUAUGUUUGUUAGCCUCAUAUAUGUCUUCUUUUGUAAAGUGUCUGUUCAUAUGCUUUGCCCACGUUUGAAUGGACUUGUUUGAUUUUUUCUUGUAAAUCUGUUUUAGUUCUUUGUAGAUUCUAGAUAUUAGCUCUUUGUCAGAUGGGUAGAUUGCAAAUUUUUUUUUCCAUUCUGUUGGUUGCCGAUUCACUCUAAUGAUUCUUUUGCUGUGCAGAAGCUCUGGAGUUUGAUUAGAUCUCAUUUGUCUAUUUUGGCUUUUCUUAUCAAUGCUUUUGGUGUUUUAGUCAUUAAGUCCUUGCCUAUGCCUAUGUUCUGAAUGGUUUUGCCUAGGUUUUCUUCUAGGGUUUAUGGUGUUAGGUCUUAUGUUUAAGUCUUUAAUCCACCCCUGAGCAUUUUUUAAAAAUUGAUUUAAUUCAUAAAAUUCUUUUAUUUUACUGUAUUUGUUUCCUCUUAGAACUGUGAUAAGAAUGAUUUGCCAUACUGAAGUAAUGCCAAGCAUAUAAUAAAUGUAUCUAAUGAAUGUCAAAUAAUUUUUUGGUACAAAAACCUUGAAAGUUGAUAAUAUAGCAUUCACCUUAUUCCAGGUCUCUUCAUCCUUCCCCUUCUUCUCCUCCUUCCCCUCCUCUUCCUUUUUCAUUUUUCUCUCUCUUUCUCAUACAUAGAGAACCUUUGUGAUUCCUGGGAUUCAGAUAUUUGUGAUUUAUGAAUUAAUAUAACAUUUAUAAUACAAUA
Long non-coding RNA from Callithrix jacchus (white-tufted-ear marmoset), 8210 nucleotides. RefSeq lists it as uncharacterized. Lineage: Eukaryota; Metazoa; Chordata; Mammalia; Primates; Cebidae. The record is from RefSeq and is a predicted model, not a curated record.